This is a long non-coding RNA of Bubalus bubalis (water buffalo), 479 nucleotides long. RefSeq lists it as uncharacterized. The transcript has 2 exons. NCBI's taxonomy places the organism in Eukaryota, Metazoa, Chordata, Mammalia, Artiodactyla, Bovidae. The record is from RefSeq and is a predicted model, not a curated record.
AGGGAAAACCGUGAUCACGUGCCUCCGAUUGGCUUUUCCCUCUCCCCAGCGCACCCUCGGGGCGGGGCCGGGGCGUCUUUGGUCUGUAUCUGUGUCCUCACAUCGCCUCGUCUCUCUGACUCCCACCCUUCUCCCCUCUUGUCACCUUUCCCUUUCUCCCUGCCUCGGUCAUCAGCGGUGUCUCUAACACUAACUGGGCCCUGCAUGGGCACCGGCACUGUGAUGCAGACGGCCAGGACCCGCCCCCUGAGCUCACGGAGGUGCUGCCCCGCUGCUGAGUUUGCCCCUCCCAGGGAACAGAGGAGGGAGCAGGAGCGCUAAAGGGGAGUCGGGAAGCUUUCUGCAAAGGCGAGUGAAGGAAGGAUUCAGACGUAAAGACAUGGGCCCUGUAACUACGCAAACAACACAAAUUAUUCUCCCUCAUCCCAGCUAACCAUCUCCUGUACCUUCCUUCAUUCUACAGAUCACUCAAGAUAAAG